Molecule: long non-coding RNA, 2535 nt
Organism: Equus caballus (horse)
Lineage: Eukaryota; Metazoa; Chordata; Mammalia; Perissodactyla; Equidae
Source: Ensembl
AGUUCCUCCCCUGGAAAUAGGACUGAUAAGAACAAGGGUGCUAUGAUGAUUAAGAUAUUGCAUGUGUCAUUGACACACGGGACUCAAUAAAUGUUAGUUUUUAUUAUUUUUAAAUCUUUGCUCCAAGCACAGGUUUUCUAAGUGGAAACUGAGGCAUGACCACCCAUUAUGUCAUGGGGGAGAGAUUUUUAUGCAGGGGUUGGGGAGGAUGGAGGCAGCCCUCCCUUCUCCCAGGCCCAGAGAAUGUGAAAAGUUCUACCUGUAUGAGACCACAUCUCAUAACCUCAAGGGCUUUUCAGAAAGGGUGUCAUGUAGAGGGCUGGAGGGUCUCAGCAACGUGAAGAUUGGCUAGGAGAGCAGGCGACUCAUUCAGUCAUUCGUCACCAAGCACAAUCUUGUCCCUGGCACUGUCAGAAGCUGGGAAUACAGAGAUAAAUAAAACGUGGUCAAAAAUCUCACAGUCUAAAGUGUCGGGACAAACUCACAAGCCAAUCAAUGGGACACAGUGGGCUCAAAGCUGGCACAGAAGUGAUGCACAAAAAUGAAGCCCAGAGGAGAGGACCACGAGUUCUCCUCAUGGUCAUUUGAGCUGGGUGCUCACAGGUAAUAGAUGCCCAAUAGAAAACGCGGGGAGGGAGGUCAGGACCAAGAGGAGAGCAUGUGCUACAAGAGGGAGAAUAAAUAUGCAGGCCAACUGGGAAGCAGCUCAGACAGGCUGGAGCAAUGGCCAUGCUUUAGGACCCUGGCUAGGUGUUAGAAUUACCUGGGGGAGAUUUCUAAACACACCCACAACCUCCAGGUCCCAGGCCAAUGAAAUCAGACUCUCUGAGAGCAUGGUCUGGCGUGGGUAGGUUUCAAAGCUCCCAGGUGAUUUGAAUGUGCAGCCAGGACUGAGAAGCCCUGGGUUGGAGCUGAACAGGAGGCACACAGCAUGACAUGAGCCUGUCGGAGAGGAUGAGGCAGAAAUGAAAGCCAGGCCAAGAAGCUGGACAUUCUCCUGCAGGCCACCAGGAGCCCAGUGGUGUUCUUGUAACUGAGGAGAAUAUGAUUAGGAAAUCCUUUGAUUAGCAAAGUUGCUAAAAGAACUGAGGCUGGGAGACUGCAACAGCCCCAACCUAGCACCCCAGAUGAGGAUCUGAACUGAGGUGGAGCCGCAAAGACAAAGGAAGAGCUCGUCACACAGGAUUAGAUUUAGGAAGUGAGGACGAGGUUCUAUAACUCCCUCAGAGUCAGGGACAGUGUCUAUACAGGGUGGAACACUGAGGGCAGGAUCCAGCCCCAGCAGCCCUGGGGGCCUCUCUCCAGGGAAAGCCUCAUAUGCACCAACAUGGCUCCUCCCCAGCCCCACCCAGGUGAAAGGACACCCUCCCCUGGAGAAGGGUUUAAGGAGAAGUCUAACCCAGGCUUACCUUCAGGGAUCCUCUGAUGGGCCCACGUUGGGAUUUUGCAGGAGAGUUCUGAUCCACCACACCUGCACCCAAGCCCCACCUCCCAUCCAGAGGCAGGCAGGCAGCCUGAACCCUCCCUCCGACAGGGAGGUGGCACUCUGCCUGUGAGGCAGCCCUCCUAGAGCAAAGCUGCACCAGCUGGUGUCUCUUCCCUGCUGUCUUCGCCUGUUCCCAAAGCCCCAGGUUCCCCGCCUUUGCUUUCUCCUGGUGAAUGGUGGGCUUGCAGUUUGGCCACAAGAUGGCAGCCUUUCCUAUAAAAUCUUCCCAGAGUUGGGCCUAGUGGCCCAGGCGGGUUCAAGGAAGGUAUUAGGUGGCUGGAGACGGAGAAGCAAGCGCCUGCCUGGGAGAGUCCUGGGCCCUGAAAGAGGCCCCUGGGACUGGUUCCAGGAAACCAGAUUCCAAACAGAUCCACCCUGGGAACAGCCAGACUGGAUUCGGAGCCCAGCUCCACCAUUUGCUCCCCGGACCACUCCCUCAACAACCCCUUAUCUUAGUGUUAUCUCAGCCAAAUGCAAGCUGAUUUUAUUCCAAGGCAGGAGGCUUGGCCAGAAGGAAUCUGCCCCAUUGGCUGUAAGUCAACCACACGAAUGUCUGUCACGUAGGAGGCUGGAGUAGAGAGGAGAUGGAGAAGAUGAACACAGACUGGUUCUGCCUCCAGGCAGCAUCACUAUAUUAAUUAGGAGACUUGUGAUGAUAAGGGUCAGAACCCCAACUCAAAGCAAAAAUUGGGAAGACCAAAGGCAUGACUGACUUCAGACACACUUGGAUCCAGGGGCCCAAAGGAUGUCUUUGCUCCACCUCCAGUUCAGCUUCCAUUGGGAUUGUGGCCUUAUUCCCAGGUAGGCUUUCUCCACAUGUGGGAAAGACAGUUACUAGCAGCCCCAAACCUACAUCCUUGUGGCACCCAUAGAAAUGGCAGAGAGGCCAUCCCUCUGUCUCACAGAAGACCUUGAGCUGGCGCAAACUCCAUCAGCUCUACCAGAGCCAUAACGAGAGGGAAAGAGUGGUUCCCCUUGGGAAGAUAACCGCCUAGACAAAACGUGUUAGCUGCUGAGAUGAGAUCUGAAAUCAUGCAUUUGUCUGUUCU